UAUCAGUAUCAAUUCAUUAUUAGCAGGCAU
This 30-nucleotide non-coding RNA is filed under the name Rattus norvegicus (Norway rat). Lineage: Eukaryota; Metazoa; Chordata; Mammalia; Rodentia; Muridae. The record is from RNAcentral.